Molecule: ribosomal RNA, 227 nt
Filed under: uncultured bacterium
Lineage: Bacteria
Description: partial 16S ribosomal RNA
Rfam family: Bacterial small subunit ribosomal RNA
Source: RNAcentral
AGUAACGCGUGAGGAACCUGCCUCAAAGAGGGGGACAACAGUUGGAAACGGCUGCUAAUACCGCAUAAGCCCACGGCUCGGCAUCGAGCAGAGGGAAAAGGAGCAAUCCGCUUUGAGAUGGCCUCGCGUCCGAUCAGCUAGUUGGUGAGGUAAUGGCCCACCAAGGCAACGAUCGGUAGCCGGACUGAGAGGUUGAACGGCCACAUUGGGACUGAGACACGGCCCAG